UACGUAGGGUGCAAGCGUUGUCCGGAUUUAUUGGGCGUAAAGAGCUCGUAGGCGGUUUGGCAAGUCGGGUGUGAAACCUCCAGGCUCAACCUGGAGUCGCCAUCCGAUACUGCUAUGACUUGAGUCUGGUAGGGGAUCACGGAAUUCCUGGUGUAGCGGUGAAAUGCAUAGAUAUCAGGAGGAACACCGGUGGCGAAGGCGGUGAUCUGGGCCAGUACUGACGCUGAGGAGCGAAAGCGUGGGGAGCGAACAGG
This 254-nucleotide ribosomal RNA is filed under the name uncultured bacterium. Its description in RNAcentral is "partial 16S ribosomal RNA". It matches the Rfam family "Bacterial small subunit ribosomal RNA", at positions 524 to 776 of the family's 1533-position model. The record is from RNAcentral. RNAcentral also lists the same sequence under 1 other name.